UACGGAGGGUGCAAGCGUUAAUCGGAAUUACUGGGCGUAAAGCGCACGCAGGCGGUUUGUUCAGUCGGAUGUGAAAUCCCCGGGCUCAACCCGGGAACUGCACCCGAAACUGGCAAGCUAGAGUCUUGUAGAGGGGGGUAGAAUUCCAGGUGUAGCGGUGAAAUGCGUAGAGAUCUGGAGGAAUACCGGUGGCGAAGGCGGCCCCCUGGACCAAGACUGACGCUCAGGUGCGAAAGCGUGGGGAGCAAACAGG
Molecule: ribosomal RNA, 253 nt
Filed under: uncultured bacterium
Lineage: Bacteria
Description: partial 16S ribosomal RNA
Rfam family: Bacterial small subunit ribosomal RNA
Source: RNAcentral